GCAGCAGCCACGGUAAUACGAAGGGGGCUAGCGUUGUUCGGAUUUACUGGGCGUAAAGCGCACGUAGGCGGACUUUUAAGUCAGGGGUGAAAUCCCGGGGCUCAACCCCGGAACUGCCUUUGAUACUGGAAGUCUUGAGUAUGGUAGAGGUGAGUGGAAUUCCGAGUGUAGAGGUGAAAUUCGUAGAUAUUCGGAGGAACACCAGUGGCGAAGGCGGCUCACUGGACCAUUACUGACGCUGAGGUGCGAAAGCGUGGGGAGCAAACAGGAUUAGAUACCCCAGUAGUCCCUGUCUCUUAUAC
Molecule: ribosomal RNA, 302 nt
Filed under: uncultured bacterium
Lineage: Bacteria
Description: partial 16S ribosomal RNA
Rfam family: Bacterial small subunit ribosomal RNA
Source: RNAcentral